Molecule: long non-coding RNA, 233 nt
Filed under: Trifolium pratense (red clover)
Lineage: Eukaryota; Viridiplantae; Streptophyta; Magnoliopsida; Fabales; Fabaceae
Description: long non-coding RNA (TPRA_LNC007639)
Source: RNAcentral
CCGGUUCCUCUGGAGUUUCGGGGCGAAUUCCUAGAGCAUUCAUGAAACUAGGAUAGACGUGCAGGGCCAUUAAUGCACGGGCCUUAGAAAACACCUUAAGAAAGGUUGUGUGCUGGUUUGAGGAAAAUCUGAGAUAGAGUUCCAAGACUAAACGUCACUCUUGCUUAAUCAGGCUCUUACUGGCUACGUGAAGGUUCCAAGACUUAGCUCACCUUCGCUUAUGCACAAUCUUA